This 496-nucleotide ribosomal RNA is filed under the name uncultured bacterium. RNAcentral's name for it is "partial 16S ribosomal RNA". It matches the Rfam family "Bacterial small subunit ribosomal RNA", at positions 28 to 523 of the family's 1533-position model. The record is from RNAcentral.
GAUGAACGCUGGCGGCGUGCCUAACACAUGCAAGUCGAGCGGUAUAAACUUUAUCAAAUCUUCGGAAGAGAGACGGUAUAGAGAGCGGCGGACGGGUGAGUAACGCGUAGGCAACCUACCCCAUACAGAGGGAUAGCCUCGGGAAACCGGGAUAAAAACCUCAUAACGCGAAAGAGUCACAUGGCUAUUUCGCCAAAGAUUUAUCGGUAUGGGAUGGGCCUGCGUCUGAUUAGCUAGUUGGUGGGGUAACGGCCUACCUAGGCGACGAUCAGUAGCCGACCUGAGAGGGUAAUCGGCCACAUUGGAACUGAGACACGGUCCAAACUCCUACGGGAGGCAGCAGUGGGGAAUAUUGCACAAUGGGCGAAAGCCUGAUGCAGCAACGCCGCGUGAGCGAUGAAGGCCUUUGGGUCGUAAAGCUCUGUCCUUGGGGAAGAAUAAAUGACGGUACCCUUGGAGGAAGCCCCGGCUAACUACGUGCCAGCCGCCGCCGUAA